Parus major (Great Tit) is the source of this 4181-nucleotide long non-coding RNA. RefSeq lists it as uncharacterized. The record is from RefSeq and is a predicted model, not a curated record. The transcript is spliced from 4 exons. Lineage: Eukaryota; Metazoa; Chordata; Aves; Passeriformes; Paridae.
GCGGGCCGCACCCGCAGGGUUUUCACUGCCGCGGGUCUCUUGUUAAAAUCAGUGACCGUCAAUCAACCCAGGACACAGUCUCUUUUGCAAAAUAUGCCCCAAAACUGCCGUGACCUCUCUGGUGCUCCAACUGCUGCCUUUGGUAUCCUCCACUGCGCUCUGGUUUGCUGCACCUCUGCGGAAAGCGCUGAUAAUUGAUAAUUAUCCUGUGGGGCCGGCACAGCGGCUGUGCAGCCUGUGGAGAGCUGCAGGGAGGGACAAUGGGGCCUGUCCCCGCUGUCCAGUGCAGCUCUGGGUGCUGGCCUUUCACCUUGAGCUCACUUCCAGGAAAAUUCCCAACAGCCUUAAUGUGAAGGGUACAGGAGGGGUGUGUGUAUGCAUACACAUAUUUAAAUAUAUUAAGACAUCUGAAUACUCAUUUUUUUAGGUUAUUUGGAGUAUAUUUUUUUUUUCUUAUCCUAUUUUUUUUCCAAAACAUUCUUUCCGCAAUUUUCUGCUUAGUGCAGUGGCUUGCUGUUUUUCACAGUGAUACCUGAUUAUUUGCAAGACUGAAUCUAUAUUUUUCAUUUGUGGAUGAAUUUCUGGGUUCCUUGGGAGCCAUUCCCUUGCAUUCUAUGGAGAGGCACUGGAAUAAAUGCAGGUUUCUUGAUUGCAAAGGGUCACAGUGUUGGAAUUUACCUCUCUUCCGCUUUUGGCAACAACAACCUCUGUGUAAAUCUGAUAAUAUGGGUGGCAAAUACAUGUUAGGUUAGAAAACGGUACAGCAGCUGCUGUGCUACUGGUAGUAACUUAGUCAAAUAGAUUCAGUGAUGUCCAAUAUUUAGACAUUUACUCUUGCAAAUACAAUGAGCCUUUGGGGUUCAGGAAAACCUGACAAAGCAGCUCCCUGAUUCUGGAUGCUAAAUGUAAUAAGGCUAAUCAUAAUAAUCCUUAUAAAAAUAAAAUUUCCAGCCCUUCCUAUUAUAUUAUACUCUAGAAACUGAAAAACAAUAUUUAAAGCAAAAAGCUUAUCAAAUCCAGAUUUUAGGUAUUUUGAUGGUUUGUUUUUGAUUUCCUUUUCUCCUGGGGAGUGGAGAGGGUGUGGGUUUUUUCCUCCAAAAUUAAAAUUCUGUAGUGUUUUCCCUCUCUGCUCUGCAGGGCAGUUUUCUCCUUUGAAACAUCUCGAGGUGUCCAGCUGUCCCACUGUGAUGGAGAACAGUGAAGUACCUUCAUAGUAGUAUCAGGAGAGUAGUGCUCUGGCUUAGGUGCUCUGUUGGAAUGAAAAUCAAAUUAUAAAUGAAGAUUUGUGGAGAGGCCAUGGAGAGAAGACAUGGAUGGCAUUAGAGGGCAGAGAGAGCAGCGCAGAGUAUCAAGAUUAGCCUGGAAGAAGAAGAAAGGACUCAGGGAAAAGUAAAUAUUUUUUCCUAAAGAAGAAGGGUUGUUUUGCUUAACAAAGAGUGCAAGCAAUAUGAGUUUACAAAGAAAGCCCAGCACAACAGUGGUAUAAAACUGGAUGGAAUAUGCUGGAAAUAGAAAUGUAUCUCCUGUAUCCUUAGAAUGUUAAAGCCUUGCUCAGCAAAACAAAGGAAGUGAUAAGAGUUCCUGCUCUACCCAGGGAUGUUCAAGAGCACAGCUUUUACUGACAUAAGUAUAUAUGAAGUGCAGGCUUUGGAAGUGAACUGCUUCACUAGUUCUACAAAGUCAGCUUCAAAAUUGCACUGUGAGAUGUAACUCUUGCAAUUUUCCAUUUGAGUUUUAGCUGAAAAAAAUAUAGAAUACAAUGCCACUUAUGCAGAAAACCACAACAAUGCAUAGUACUUAGUUCAAGAACACGCACUAAGGUGUUUGUGAAUGGUCCCACAAGAAGAUUAACUAAAUUAGGAAGUAACCAAAUAUUCAAAAGGAAUGGAGAAAUCCAAGAAUUGAAUGAUCUGCUCAGACACUUCACAAACAGACCCAACAGGCAACAUUUUCCCAAGAGAUUGCUCAUGGAAAUUAUUUGCUUCAUUUCAGUUGUUAACAAGCAUGAGCAGCUGAGCUCCACCUCCUCUGCGGCACAGAAGUGAUCUCCAAGGCUUUUGCCUACCAGCAUUACCAGCAGAAAAUGAUUAGGUUUGGACAGGUCCUCCUCUGUUAUUUCACUGACUCUCAAAUCCAUCUGGCUGCUUUGAGUAAAUGUGGAGAAAAAACAUGAAAAAUAUAUAUCCUGGGUUUACUUUGAUCUCUAAAAAUAAGGAUGAUUUUAUUUUAGGCAUAUAAUAAUAUUGUUAACCUCUGUUCACUAAGCAAUCCUUGCUUUUCCCUUGGUUCUCAGUUUGACACAUCUCCAGCAUGAAAUGGACUAAGAUUGCCAUGAAACUGAAAGCUCUGAGUGUGGAAAUUGGGGAAUGCAUAGACAGAUUCUUUUUUCCUUUUUAAACAUAUGCCAAUGAAUAAGUCCUUUUUCCUACCCCCUCAUAAGUUUUCUGAAAUUCUUGGUAAAUAUCACUACAAACCUCAGCUAGAAAGCCCAAAGCAAUUUUCCCUUAGGGGACUUCCGUUAGAGCCACAGAAUAUCAAAGGCCAAGAACCAGGGAUUGUCUCCAGCCUGAAAUGGAACACUGGUCCUGGUGAAAACUGCCACGAAGAUCAGAUCACUUUUCUACAUGAGCUUUGCCAAUGGGAAAGCAAGAGAAAAGCAGGAGAUCACUGCAGAGCACUAAAAAGAGCCAGGAAGCAGCUGCAAAUGUUCUUAUACUGACACACGUUUGGCCACCAUGAGCAGUUUAAAGGAGCAAAUAUGGAUGUAGAGGUAAAUCUCAGAGAGGAUGGGCAUUUAAACUAUAGUUGUUAGGUGCAUUGUCUCAUUGAAGUUGUAAGGUAACUUUCUUGCCUAUUAAGCAUUGUUCAGAAAAUUUAAAAAUCUAAACAUGUAAAAUAAAAUAUGAACAUGAAGCACUUUGAUUCACAGUAUUUCUAGUGCCUGUAGUGCACAGUAAACUUCUGUACCAUUGUUACCUGAGACAUACAUGAUGUAAAGAUACUUUUUAAGAAGAGACAAUUGCUUAAAUAUUGGCAGAGUAUUCUUUGCAAUCUUUAUGGCAAGAUCUUUACUGCUUGCACCAAUCUGCUGCAGAUGACGUGUGAACAGAGACAUUUGAGAUGGGUUAGAAGAAUUCCUGCUUCCAGCACUUGCACUGGAAUAAAACCUUCCUUACCUGAGCAGGCUGUUCCAACCUGGAAAGACAGGUUUUCUGGGGAAGGCAAAGAGCAUUUACUUGUCAGUUUACACACAUAUGGCAGGACACUUGUAAGACUUCCACAAGCCCAUGGCUGGGGAUCUGCAUCUUUAAUGGCCUAGAAGCCAGUGAAUAUUUCAUAAUAACCAUAAUUCCAGGAAAUAGAAACACUGAAUGACAGAACCCACUAUUUUGUUGUCAUACAUUCUGUUACCUAAACCUUGCCAUAUACAAUUUCAGGACACCUAAGAAGGUCUGCAAUAUAUUACAUAGUUUUUACAGUGAAAGCAGAAGCUAUGUUUAAACACAUAGAGAAGGGAGUCAAAAGAAAAAUGGAUAUUGAGGGUUAUCAUAUAUUUGUCUGCAACCAGGACCAGCCCUAGUGAUGGCCACACAAAGUUUGGGCAGCCAGCUGUUGAUUGUCUCAAUUAAAAGGCAUUCAAAAUUUAAGGCUGCUCAGCUAUCUUAAAAGUAUCUGAAAAAAUUGUCCAUAAACUGGAGUUAUUUGCAUAUAUGUUUUUAAACAUUAUCAAUGUUUUAGAGAAAAAACAGUCCUUCAAAUUAUGUUUCAGCUAUGUUAGUUUUAAUUGAAGGCAUUUGGAGAUAAAUACCUGUUACAGAUUUUACAGAGAUUUUGCUACCAAUGGCAGAACAAUUUCUUGAUUAAUGUUGUUGAGUUACAUGAACAGGAAUUGAGAAAUUCGGUAAUUCUGAAAAUAGUGAAUACUUCUUCUGUUCUUCUUCUUACUAUCCUUUAAUGAAACUUUCUGUCAAAGUAGUUGCAUAUUACCUAGUAAUUAAACAUCCAAAGUACUUAUGGUACAUUUAUUUUCAUGAAAUACAUGUUUUCAUUAGUUAGCAUUUAUAUGUUGUAGUUGUUUUGCUACAUGUGACAGCAUUUUUAGAGUUGCCUCACCUUUGAAAGUAUCUCAAAUAUUAAAAUAUCUCAAAUAUUUAAUUUUAACUUAUUAAUGUUGUCAUUUG